Molecule: long non-coding RNA, 561 nt
Filed under: Cercocebus atys (sooty mangabey)
Lineage: Eukaryota; Metazoa; Chordata; Mammalia; Primates; Cercopithecidae
Description: lncRNA (ENSCATG00000045659.1)
Source: RNAcentral
GGUUAAAAAAACUUGCUCAACAUCACAUGGUGGGACUCAGCAUGCUGACUUCAGGUUAGCCGUUCUAUCCCAUGAAGAAACGGACCCUCUCGUGGGUCGUUGAUGGUCCAUUAUGAUUGCAUCUUUCCUGGUCUCAUCCUUAGAAUAGUCUCAUUGGAGACUGAUCCAGACAAAUAAUCCUCAAGGAACUGCUUUUUUCUUUUUGUUGGAACAGAUUUUAACCGGACCACUAAUGUCAGAAAGGACACCAAUACACUCAGUGGAGAGCUGCUGCUCAUUUUCCCUGUGCAAGAUGCAGAAAUCUGGAAUUCAAAGAGGCUUUGCAGAGUUUAGAGCAUAUUCUACCCAACUGGCCCCAGAUGGAAAAUACUCUUUUGAAAUUGGAUGGCUUUUUAAGUGUAGCUCUCCACAGCCUGCUCAAGGAAAAAAAAAAAUUCAUACAUUGAAGAUUAGCAAUAGUUUGUGUCUGGAAAUCAGCUGGCAACACCAGGAAUGACAAUAAAGGCAAGUCCUCCAGGGUUAGCUCAAUAAAAAGUGAAUCCUCCUUGCUCAACUCAUGUA